This 239-nucleotide ribosomal RNA is filed under the name uncultured Lactobacillus sp. Its description in RNAcentral is "partial 16S ribosomal RNA". It matches the Rfam family "Bacterial small subunit ribosomal RNA", at positions 123 to 354 of the family's 1533-position model. Lineage: Bacteria; Bacillati; Bacillota; Bacilli; Lactobacillales; Lactobacillaceae. The record is from RNAcentral.
AACCUGCCCAAGAGAUCGGGAUAACACCUGGAAACAGAUGCUAAUACCGGAUAACAACAGAUGAUGCCUAUCAACUGUUUAAAAGAUGGUUCUGCUAUCACUCUUGGAUGGACCUGCGGUGCAUUAGCUAGUUGGUAGGGUAACGGCCUACCAAGGCGAUGAUGCAUAGCCGAGUUGAGAGACUGAUCGGCCACAUUGGGACUGAGACACGGCCCAAACUCCUACGGGAGGCAGCAGGG